RNAcentral lists this ribosomal RNA (449 nucleotides) under uncultured bacterium. RNAcentral's name for it is "bacterial SSU rRNA". It matches the Rfam family "Bacterial small subunit ribosomal RNA", at positions 331 to 794 of the family's 1533-position model. The record is from RNAcentral.
CCAGACUCCUACGGGAGGCAGCAGUGGGGAAUAUUGGGCAAUGGGCGCAAGCCUGACCCAGCAACGCCGCGUGAAGGAAGAAGGCUUUCGGGUUGUAAACUUCUUUUCUCAGGGACGAAGAAAGUGACGGUACCUGAGGAAUAAGCCACGGCUAACUACGUGCCAGCAGCCGCGGUAAUACGUAGGUGGCAAGCGUUAUCCGGAUUUAUUGGGUGUAAAGGGCGUGUAGGCGGGAGCGCAAGUCAGAUGUGAAAACUCAGGGCUCAACCCGUGAACUGCAUUUGAAACUGUUUCCCUUGAGUGUCGGAGAGGUAAUCGGAAUUCCUUGUGUAGCGGUGAAAUGCGUAGAUAUAAGGAAGAACACCAGUGGCGAAGGCGGAUUACUGGACGAUAACUGACGGUGAGGCGCGAAAGCGUGGGGAGCAAACAGGAUUAGAUACCCGAGUAUA